Molecule: small nucleolar RNA, 138 nt
Organism: Ornithorhynchus anatinus (platypus)
Lineage: Eukaryota; Metazoa; Chordata; Mammalia; Monotremata; Ornithorhynchidae
Source: RefSeq, a predicted model, not a curated record
UCCCUCUCAGGGUCACAUCUGGAGAGUUUCCAGUACUCUACCAGUCUCGGCUACAGGAGGGAUAGUCAAGAAGAGGCAUAUCCAUUCCAUUCCUCGAUUGGGCAGUGGCUAGCGAGGGGAAGACAAUCUGCUACAAGC